RNAcentral lists this long non-coding RNA (1475 nucleotides) under Taeniopygia guttata (zebra finch). Its description in RNAcentral is "lncRNA (ENSTGUG00000026167.1)". Lineage: Eukaryota; Metazoa; Chordata; Aves; Passeriformes; Estrildidae. The record is from RNAcentral.
CAUCCCAUCCCAUCCCAUCCCAUCCCAUCCCACCCCUCAGAGCCUCACCAGCCGCUUGCAGCUCAGUGCAAAGUCUCAGUAAACAUUUAUUCGAAGCUUUGCCACAAUUAACCUUAAGUUGAUUUGUGAAACUGGUCUACAAAUACUGAACUACGGAGUACAUGGUUUGGAUGGUCCGAUAAAGGAAUAAAUAAAAGCAUGUAAAGCUCUGUAAAAAAGAAGUCUGGUAUAUUGUAACUAGUUAACAGGAUUACCAGCAGGAUCUCGUAUGUGUCUAGGAUCGGAAGUGAACACACGGCAUCUCUUCAGACCAAAUCAUUUUUACAUAAACAGUUGUACAAACUUAAACACUGUAAUCAUAAAACCUGAUGUACAAAACAGGAUGUGAAAUCACUACCAUCAGUGCCAACAACAAGUGCUACCACAGCAAAUAUAACUUCUGAAUAAAAGGAAAGGAUUGGUUUUUACAUGUGCUGUCAUCACAGGUCGAUGGAAUUAUCCAAAAAGUUUAAAAUACAUGCGGAUACAAUAAAACCUUUUAUUUUCCAACCCAGACAAAGAGAACUCAUGGUCACUUAACACCAUUAGCUGCCAAAUACAGAUCAGUAUGUGAGGCAAACCACACUUAAACACUUACACACCACCAAAGAGCAAAGGUUGAUACUGGUCUAUUUUCCACACCGACGAUGCAACGACGAGUCUGGAGAAGCAAACCACGUGAAGGAGGUGCUACAAGUACAGCACUGAGUUCAAUGCACUGACACCCAAACCACCAGCACUGAGCUGUACUGGGUGUGUACACUGCACUGUGACACCCAAACCACCAGCACUGAGCUACACUGGGUGUGUACACUGCACUCUGACACCCAAACCACCAGCACUGGAGUGCUCUGCCAGAGGGGAAGAGCACAGCAGGAUCCCAGAGCAGACAGCUGAAAACCUUCAGGAGUGGGAACACUGCAGGAUUCCAAAGCAGGCAGGUGAAAACUUUCAUGAAUGGGAACACUGCAGGAUUCCAGAGGUUGGCUCCCAGAGCAGGAAGAGCACUGCAGGAUUCCAGAGGCUGGCUCCCAGAGCAGGCAGCUGAAAACCCUCAGAACCCCGGUGAGUUCCCGAUCCCGGGCAGCCAGACCCAUCCUUGGCGCCUGUGCCAGCCGCUCACACAGGCAUGGGCUCUCCAGUGGCACAGGAAGGUCCAGGAGCAGGAUCUGUCCUGCAGGAGCAGCCAGGUGGGGCUGUCCCUGUGUCACCUGUGCCCCAGCAGGGCACCAUGGCUGUGGCAGAGCUCCAUGAAGUCACAGCAAGAAGCUGAAGCUACCAGGGUUGUCCUGUGCCAUCCCCACCUGGGACAGGUGAUGCUGCUGAGGUUUGUCCCGUGCCAUCCUUGCCCUGAUACAGUGACACUGCUGAGGGUUGUCCCGUGCCACCCCUGCAGGUGUAACCCACAGGUGACACAGAGCCCUGCCUGUCUCUGA